Molecule: unclassified non-coding RNA, 1758 nt
Filed under: uncultured fungus
Lineage: Eukaryota; Fungi
Description: sequence contains 18S rRNA gene, ITS1, 5.8S rRNA gene, ITS2, 28S rRNA gene
Rfam family: Eukaryotic large subunit ribosomal RNA (bases 731-1758)
Source: RNAcentral
GGUUGGAUCAUUAACAAAUUUUUAAAAAGGUUAGAGUCAACCAACUGGGCGGUUUCAGCUUUCUUGUUGGUUGGUUCUUAUCCUUUCAACCCUAAUGUGAACCUGUUUAUUGUCUCUUGGCGAGUUAGGAAUUUUUUUUGUAGUGAAGCAACUUUACUAAAGAACGGAUGAACUCAUUUUAUGUUUUCAAGCGAAGUAUCUGCAGUUUGAACGCUGAGCUGAAAAAAAGUAACGACCUUGCCAAACCUAAACUUGAACUUUUGUUUUAAUAACUAGUCUUGAAUUUAAAUUAUAUUUUAAUUUAAAACAACUUUUGACAACGGAUCUCUAGGCUCUCGCAACGAUGAAGAACGCAGCGAAAUGCGAUAAGUAAUGUGAAUUGCAGAAUUCCGUGAAUCAUUAAAUCUUUGAACGCACAUUGCGCUCUUUGGUAUUCCGAAGAGCAUAUCUGUUUGAGAAUCAGUUUAAUUAUCAAGCCUUUUUUGCUUGCUUUUAUGCAAGUGAAUUAGGGUUGGAUUUGGGACAUAUUAAGCUUGCAAAGCUUCGAUUGACCUUUAAAAUAUCUUUUUCUUUAUCUUUCUUUGAGAUUUAUGAUCAAAAGGCAUGACCAAUGAACGCAAGUUCUAUUGAUUGCUGAUAAUGAUUGUUAAAGCUUUGAGUUGAUUUUAUGGGAGAAAUUAAAAAACUUUAAACCACACGAAGGAAAGCUUUUUUGCUUUCUUUUAAGACUUGAUCUCAAAUCAGAUAAGACUACCCGCUGAACUUAAGCAUAUCAAUAAGCGGAGGAAAAGAAACUAACAAGGAUUCCCCUAGUAACGGCGAGUGAAGCGGGAAUAGCUCAAAUUUUAAAUCUCCUUGGUUUACCAAGGCGAAUUGUAGUUUAAAGAAGUAUUUUCAGAAAUAACUCAUGAUUAAGUUCCUUGGGAUAGGGCAUCAUAGAAGGUGAGAAUCCUGUAUGGUUGUGAGGGACUUUCUAAUGUGAUAUACUUUCAAAGAGUCGGAUUGUUUGGGAAUGCAGUCCAAAAUGGGUGGUAAAUACCAUCUAAAGCUAAAUAUUGGCGAGAGACCGAUAGCGAACAAGUACCGUGAGGGAAAGAUGAAAAGAACUUUGAAAAGAGAGUUAAAAGUACGUGAAAUUGUCAAAAGGGAAACACUUGAAACCAGUCUUGCGGUUGAAAUCUCAACUACUCUAACGAGCUAGCCUAUGUUUUCAAUCACAGGUCAAUAUCAGUUCGGUUUGAAGUAUAAAGCUUGAAGAAGGUGGCCCCUUGGGGUGUUUAUAGCUUCAAGUAAUGCUUUGGACCGGAUUGAGGAAUGCAGUGCAGUCUUGGGUACCCAGUCGCUAGGUGAUGCUUUUACGUAGACAACUUGUUGAUUACGCAAGAGAUAAGCCUAAUCGGUUGGCUUGCCACACCUGUGCUUAGGAUAUUGACAUAAUGGUUUUAAAUGACCCGUCUUGAAACACGGACCAAGGAGUCUAACACAUACGCGAGUAUUUGGGUGGUAAACCCGGAAUGCGCAAUGAAAGUACUAAGGUGGGACUCGCAAGAUGCACCAUCGACCGGUCUGGAUAUUUAUUGAUAGAUCUGAGUAAGAGCGUAUUUGUUAGGACCCGAAAGAUGGUGAACUAUGCCUGAAUAGGGUGAAGCCAGAGGAAACUCUGGUGGAGGCUCGUAGCGAUUCUGACGUGCAAAUCGAUCGUCAAAUUUGGGUAUAGGGGCGAAAGACUAAUCGAACCAUCUAGUAGCUGGUUCCCUC